This 253-nucleotide ribosomal RNA is filed under the name uncultured bacterium. RNAcentral describes it as "partial 16S ribosomal RNA". It matches the Rfam family "Bacterial small subunit ribosomal RNA", at positions 524 to 776 of the family's 1533-position model. The record is from RNAcentral.
UACAGAGGUCUCAAGCGUUGUUCGGAUUCAUUGGGCGUAAAGGGUGCGUAGGCGGCGCGGUAAGUCGGAUGUGAAAUCUCGGGGCUUAACUCCGUAACUGCAUUCGAUACUGCCGUGCUUGAGGACUGGAGAGGAGACCGGAAUUUACGGUGUAGCGGUGAAAUGCGUAGAUAUCGUAAGGAAGACCAGUGGCGAAGGCGGGUCUCUGGACAGUUUCUGACGCUGAGGCACGAAGGCCAGGGGAGCAAACGGG